Long non-coding RNA from Hirundo rustica (Barn swallow), 4613 nucleotides. RefSeq lists it as uncharacterized. The transcript has 14 exons. The record is from RefSeq and is a predicted model, not a curated record. NCBI's taxonomy places the organism in Eukaryota, Metazoa, Chordata, Aves, Passeriformes, Hirundinidae.
CCCUGGUUUGUGGUGUCCGAUGUGACGGGUGUUGGUGUGGCUUUGUCCCAGAGCUGCUCUGUCCUGCCGCAUGGGUGGGUGUAGGGGUAAUAGAAGAAGCCCCUGGGGCCUGAACUGGGUGAUGUCAGGUGGAGUUGUGGUGUGGAGGGCAUUCGUCGGUUGGCAGCACGCGUCUGUCGCUGUCAAGUUCCCGUGCCGCAGUGUGACUUUGUUCCUGUGUGUGUUUCAGAUGCGGAUGGAUUCACUUGAUGGCAGAGGGCCCCAUCCCGGGUGAGGGGGUAUCCCCAGAAGAGGAACUGAAGCGGGAUGUCAUCUGUCAAGGUGAAGCGGAGCAGGAGAUGUCACUUUCCACGGAGCUGCCCUCAGCAAGCAGAGGAUGGAUGCGGUUUGCCUGUCUCCUGAGACCUGUGGGGAGCAGAAGAGGAGUGUGUGAUGAAGCCUUGCUAUUUUCCAUUUGAAGGUGCCAUCCAGGUCCACCCCGUGACGACGGCAGGGGGCUCGGAGCGUGGCUGAGACGUGCGGGGCGAGGACAUGGGUAUUCUUAGGAGACGCUGAGGAAGAGACACCAGCCCAGUGGGAGCUGAGGUCCACCCCGUGACGACGGCAGGGGGCUCGGAGCGCGGCUGAGGCGGGCAGGGCGAGGACGUAGGUAUUCUUAGGCGACGCUGAGGAAGAGACACCAGCCCAGUGGGAGCUGAGGUCCACCCCAUGAUGACAGCAGGGGGCUCGGAGCGCGGCCGAGGCGUGCGGGGCGAGGACGUAGGUAUUCUUAGGCGACGGUGAGUGUCCUAAUGGUGAGGUUUUGGUCCAUGUGCUGCCAUGUGCAUGCUUUGAUGUUUGGUUUUGUUUGUUGUAGCUGAGGAAGAGACACCAGCCCAGUGGGAGCUGAGGUCCACCCCGUGACGACGGCCGGGGGCUCGGAGCGCGGCCGAGGCGUGCGGGGCGAGGACGUAGGUAUUCUUAGGAGACGCUGAGGAAGAGACACCAGGCCGGUGGUGGCAGGACUUUCCCAGAGGGCGAGGCGGCGUUCCUUGGCACUGAUGUGGAUGGUGAUCACCGGACCUCCCAGAGCUAAGUGGAGGGCUCGAGGCACAGAGGGGAUGAGAGCAGGGUGCUGGGUUGGGAGUUGCUGGGGGGGAUUGAGUUCAGUAUGGAUCUGGAGAUGUGCAGGAUGUGAGUGCUUAGGGCACAUGAAAGGCAAGUGUCAUUUCUGAUUGUAAUGCUGAGACGGGCAGAGCAGUCCCGGGCACAUGGUGUCUGUUGUCCACUCUGUGUGUGUCAGGCAUCUCAUCUUUCACGUCUUUUCCCAUAGGUCCUCAAGGGGCCUGUGGGGAACCCUGGGAUCACUGUUAGCAUUUCUGAUGUCUGCCUUCCUGGCUCCAGUGGCUUUGACUGGAGAGCUGGGACUUAGAUCUGAACCUCAUCUCUGUUCAGAGUCAUCCAGUGCGAUGUCUUUUGUGGUCUUGUUCUGAGCUGUACAGACAGCCGUGCCCCGCCACGAUCCAUUUUGGCGGGUUAGGACUUGUUUAGAAGUCCAAGCUAGGUCUUGGCUUGUGAGCGGAGGAGCGUCGGGCAUCCAUCUUUGUGAUUCUCGGAAGGCAUCAUCUUGUUAGCAUUCUCUUCCUGUAGGGUUCUGUGAGCCUGGCCAGCUCACCUUGUUUCUUCCGUUUGUCAUCUCAUUCUGCGUUCUCUCUGUCCUCCCGGUCGUUCUUCUUGCGGAGAGCUUUUUGUUGUUGUGGUGUCCCCUGGUUUGUGGUGUCCGAUGUGACGGGUGUUGGUGUGGCUUUGUCCCGGAGCUGCUCUGUCCUGCCGCAUGGGUGGGUGUAGGGGUAAUAGAAGAAGCCCCUGGGGCCUGAACUGGGUGAUGUCAGGUGGAGUUGUGGUGUGGAGGGCAUUCGUCGGUUGGCAGCACGUGUCUGUCGCUGUCAAGUUCCCGUGCCGCAGUGUGACUUUGUUCCUGUGUGUGUUUCAGAUGCGGAUGGAUUCACUUGAUUGCAGAGGGCCCCAUCCCAGGUGAGGGGGUGUCCCCAGAAGAGGAACUGAAGCGGGAUGUCAUCUGUCAAGGUGAAGCGGAGCAGGAGAUGUCACUUUCCACGGAGCUGCCCUCAGCAAGCAGAGGAUGGAUGCGGUUUGCCUGUCUCCUGAGACCUGUGGGGAGCAGAAGAGGAGUGUGUGAUGAAGCCUUGCUAUUUUCCAUUUGAAGGUGCCAUCCAGGUCUACCCCAUGAUGACGGCAGGGGGCUCGGAGCGCGGCCGAGGCGUGCGGGGCAAGGACGUAGGUAUUCUUAGGAGACGCUGAGGAAGAGACACCAGGCCGGUGGUGGCAGGACUUUCCCAGAGGGCGAGGCGGUGUUCCUUGGCACUGAUGUGGAUGGUGAUCACUGGACCUCCCAGAGCUAAGUGGAGGGCUUGAGGCACAGAGGGGAUGAGAGCAGGGUGCUGGGUUGGGAGUUGCUGGGGGGGAUUGAGUUCAGUAUGGAUCUGGAGAUGUGCAGGAUGUGAGUGCUUAGGGCACAUGAAAGGCAAGUGUCAUUUCUGAUUGUAAUGCUGAGACAGGCAGGGCAGAGCAGUCCCGGGCACGUGGUGUCUGUUGUCCACUCUGUGUGUGUCAGGCAUCUCAUCUUUCACGUCUUUUCCCAUAGGUCCUCAAGGGGCCUGUGGGGAACCCUGGGAUCACUGUUAGCAUUUCUGAUGUCUGCCUUCCUGGCUCCAGUGGCUUUGACUGGAGAGCUGGGACUUAGAUCUGAACCUCAUCUCUGUUCAGAGUCAUCCAGUGCGAUGUCUUUUGUGGUCUUGUUCUGAGCUGUACAGACAGCCGUGCCCCGCCACGAUCCAUUUUGGCGGGUUAGGACUUGUUUAGAAGUCCAAGCUAGGUCUUGGCUUGUGAGCGGAGGAGCGUCGGGCAUCCAUCUUUGUGAUUCUUGAAGUGAUUCAUCUUGUUAGCAUCCUCUUCUUGUAGGGUUCUGUGAGCCUGGCCAGCUCACCUUGUUUCUUCCGUUUGUCAUCUCAUUCUGCGUUCUCCCGGUCGUUCUUCUUGCGGAGAGCUUUUUGUUGUUGUGGUGUCCCCUGGUUUGUGGUGUCCGAUGUGACGGGUGUUGGUGUGGCUUUGUCCCGGAGCUGCUCUGUCCUGCCGCAUGGGUGGGUGUAGGGGUAAUAGAAGAAGCCCCUGGGGCCUGAACUGGGUGAUGUCAGGUGGAGUUGUGGUGUGGAGGGCAUUCGUCGGUUGGCAGCACGCGUCUGUCGCUGUCAAAUUCCCGUGCUGCAGCGUGACUAUUUUCCUGACUUUGUUUCAGAUGCAGAUGGAUUCAAUCCGUGGCAGAGCGCCUCAUCCUGGGUGAGGGGGUUCCUCUGUGAAGGUGUAAGUCACUGUCUUAGCUGGGGUAGUGUAAAUAAUGACUGUGUAAGAGUUCUUUUUUUCUCUUUACUUUCAGGAAGUGAUGGUAGAUGUCAGCUCUCAAGGUGAAGUGGAGCAGGUGAACUGUGAUUGUUGGAGAGAAGCAGUUGCUAUUGCUGAAGUCUUACUUGAUCAUGCAUGUCUAAGCAUCCCCUUUUGUGUUUUAUGGGGUCUACUUGCAUGACACCAUUCUGUCACAAACCAGGUGCUGGUUUCUGUUUGGAAUUUUAGCUGGCUGCCAUCCCUUUGCUGGCCCAUGGCCUUAGACAGAAGCAGUGUCCCUUCUCCAUGGGCAUGCCGAUUCACCCUCCCCUGUUCCUGAUGUGAUUUUGUAGGAGGCAUUUGGUACUCCAAGUUAGACAUGUAAGUGUUGUCUCUGCCAGCUUUUGCCAGCCCUGUAAGCCUGCUUCCCUUCCCUUUCUGCAGCAUGUGUCUGUCCUGGUCUUAGAAUUUGUGCAUGCUUUGCAACGGAAUGUUUCAUUUAGCAUCAAUCAUGGACAUUGCUGAGCAAUUGUGUCUGUGUCUUCUUUCAUUCAUGAACUCUUCACCACUCGAUGGGGACUCUCCCAGACAUUUUAUGAUUGAAAUCCGUUCACCCGUGAGUGAAGAACACAAAGGGCAAGAGGUUUUCUGCCUGUCCUGUUUUUUUUAAGGUGUAGGUGAAAUCUAAGCUCCAGUACCCUCUGCCGUGCAGCUCCUUUGGCCUAUCCCACGGUCCAUGAAGUAAGCACGUAUAAAAGCUGGGCCAAGUUUCCCUGCACAGUUUUAGUUUGUCUGUUGCAGCCCUGAGCAGGUGUCUAAAAUAAGUAAAAACCCCCUGGUGCCUCCGUCUCCCCCCUAGGCAGGGAUGCAGGGGCAGCAGCACCCCUGAAACGAUGUCCCAAACAGAGAGCCUUCCCAGGCCCUUGGAGAAGAGCUGAAGGGGUAAGAAGAGAGGGCAGGAAAGCCUUGGUACCUUCCGUGAGAGCGCCUGUGUCCCUGUGCCCUGCAAAAGCAGCAAGGGCCAGCAUCCCUGUGAUUUUGAGAUGAGGCCAAGGGAAACGUGCGGCACCGUGGGUUCUUUGUGUAGUCGGUCGUUUUCCCGUUUCCCCAUUGGUCCCUUUUGGAUCCUUGCUCCGAUUGGUCGUUUUGAAAUUCAUUCACCCCAUUGGUGUGAGUGUCAAAGCCACCUCGUUCCCUGUGAAAGGGGGUUGUGGGAGGUCAGUUGGGCGUGGGUUCCA